This is a long non-coding RNA of Melospiza melodia melodia, 5992 nucleotides long. RefSeq lists it as uncharacterized. NCBI's taxonomy places the organism in Eukaryota, Metazoa, Chordata, Aves, Passeriformes, Passerellidae. The transcript has 3 exons. The record is from RefSeq and is a predicted model, not a curated record.
CCUGCAGAGCGACGGGCAGCAGCCAAUCCUCCUCACCAUGAUUCUCCUCCUGCAGUACUUCUUCCUGCUGGCCAUAGACCUGGUGCUGGCCAUGACCCUCUUGUGCCUCUUCUACGCCUUCGCGUGCGCCUCCGUCGCGUUGCUGACCUGCUGCGCCAUCGUCUUCUCCUUCGGCAGCGCCGAGAGGAGCGCCGACGUCAAAGGGAGAGCCAUCGUCAUUCUCGUGUCCAACAGCUCCAUCGGCAGGAUGUUUGCAAGGAACCUGGACAAAGCAGGCUUCGGGGUGUCUGCGGCUCAGUGGUCUGCCCGGGAGGAGAGGACAGCGACACAAGAGUGCCCAUCCAACAAGCAGGUAGCCCAGCUGCACCUGACCGAAGAUGAGUAUCAGAAGACAGUGAAAACCUUCAUAGAAAGCCACUUAUCCCUGAAAGGGGAAAGAGCCUGCUUUGGUGGCUGUGAAAGGCCCCAGCAGACCCCAGUCCCUGAAGGAAGGCAAGGUAGGCCAAGGAAGGAGGGGGAGAAGGUCCUAUCAAGGCACAGAGGGCUGGACUUGCUCUGAGAAGAAAACACAGAAACGAACAAUGGGGAGCAAAGCCUAGACAGUGACCUGAGGUGAAGGAAUGUGUCUGAUGUUUAACCUCUUCUGGAUUAAAAAGGAACCCAGCUGAGCUCCCUCUUGGCUUCCUGGCUGCUGUGGGAUUCCUAAGAGUCAGGCCCUGCAAAGGAAGGACAUGUUGGAGGUCAGAGCACGCCCAGGAAGGCUCCAGCACUGCAGACGCCCUUGGAGGGGCGGUAGGGACCCCUGGCUGCCCCUGCAGCUGCUCAGGACACAGCUCCCUGCAGUGCCCUUCUCUCAGCAGCCCAGCACCAGCAGUGCCUCUGCAGCUCUGCGUGGCCCAGGAUGCACCCCGAGCUCACUGCCUGCGUGCAGGCUCCACAGAUGGCUCCCUGCACGCCAGCAGUGGGCUCCACACCAAGGGCUCAGCUGCCUGCACGAGCAUUUCGGCUCAUUUACCCCAGGAAAAUUACUCUGGUAAAACCUUCUUGUGUGGACAGGGCCUAGAAGCUCCCCAAGCUGAGCAUCAGCAUAAUCCUGCUCUGGAAAUGAACAAUAGAGGCUUUCUUAACCAGUAAUGAUCUGUGGGAGCUGGUGAUUUCUGUGGGCCUGUGCUGUUCUAAUGAAAUGAGGCUCCAGCACAGUGGUACCUGUCUUCUUUUGCUCUUGACUAGUUUGGUCCCCUGCUCGUUAAAGGCUUUUGCUGGUGUCACGUUGUUUUGACAGGGGGAUCUGUCGUAGGAUCCAUGAGGUUUUACAUUUAGGAUCUCCUGCAUAAUAUUCACAUCACAGAUGUGGAUGUUGAAAUGUAUUUCCCAAGUGCUGACCCAAUUGCAUGGCAGAUCAAAGCAGUAAGUUGGGAGGGAAAAGAAAAAGAAAAAUAAGAGAAAAAUAAAAAGAGAAAGAAAACCUCACUGUUUUCUUGGGUUUCUUUGUUUUCAGUUUUGAGUGAGUGCUGAUAUUCAUUUUGCAAAAUUUACCGUGGUAUCUUUGGCAUGGGUUAGGUGAACAUGAACACUCACCACCAAUAAUAAUGAAAGAAUUUAAACCAAAUCUAAAGUCUACAUUGGUGGGUCCCCACAUGCAGUUUGGUGAGCAGGAUCUGGACAAGGGCAGGAGAGUUAGUGCUGUAGGGCAGAACCAUUACACAAUCUUCGCUAUUUAGAAACUUCUCUUAUGUACUUUGUGCAUGCAAUUUUUAGUUCCUAAAGAAAGGAACCUUUGCUAGUUUUUUUAUGGGUUUUGGUCUUUUUUUUUCAUUACUUGUCCCUAUAGGACAUUUUUACCAUUGUAUCUUUGCUAUUGUAAAUAAAAAUAUACUUGCUCUAUAUAAUCAAAUCUUUUAAAAUUCAUCCUAAAUGCCUUUCAAGGUAACACAGUGAAGACAGAAUCCCCCAGCCAUAGCUGCUUCUAGAAUUAAAAUAGUUAUGAUAGCUAAGAUAAUCUACUUUUCAUUCUAGUACAGGCCCAGCAACCCAAAUUUUCAGGAAGGCUAGCACCUUUAUUUUGCAGUGACUGUACAAGUUAAUAAGAUGCUACCAGGCCUAAAGAGAAUGUAACAGAGAAAUGCAAGCCAGCCCCCUUCCAAAUUCUUCCUUUGCUGUGUGACAGCUUAGCUCAGUUCAUAAAAAGCCUUUAGAGCUUCUGGCUUUUAGCCUUUGGUGCCUUUAGAUCAGAUAUUCAAACUUUCUCUGUGACCAAGAGGUCAAAGAGACAGAGGGAAGAAGAUGAGAGAAGGAGUUUGAUUGCUCACCUCCAGCAGCUGAGCCUGCACUGUCAGAUAUUGCAAGAGCCCCUGGCAUGGUGUCCAAGCCCUGUGUGAUCUGCUGCUGGUGAAACUGCUGUGCUGUGCUGCUCUGGGCAGGUGCCUGCAAACACUGGCAGCUGCCUCACCAGCCUCAGGAGGGACUGCAGCGAGGGUGGGGCAGGGCAAGGAGGAAAGAAACAGGGAUGGGCAGAGCCCAGAGACAGCCCCCUGACCUGACUCACAGAGCUCAGAGAAGCAGAGGGCUCCCCUGUUACCUGCUGGAGCCCCUGCUGUCACAGCUCCUGGGGUCCACCUGUCACACACAACAGCCACAGGCUGGGCAAAGCCAGCACUGCCUGGGCACAGCAUCACACAGCUGGCUGCUUGUGCGGGGCCUUAAAGGCCAUCUAGGGCCAGCCCCAAUGGGCAGGGACACCUUCCACUAGACCUGGCUGCUCAAAGCCCAUCCAGCCUGGCCCUGAACACUUCCAGGGAUGGGGCAUCCUCUGUAAUUCCCCAGGUUCCCACAGGAGAGAUAAUCCUUGAUGUGAGCAAUGCCUCACACUGCACAGCCUUCCUUGCUUCGCUCAGAUCUCUGCUAUGCUGAGGCUGCUUACACAGUUCUGUUGGUUUUCACUGCGUCAGGAUUUCAUAUCUUGUACCUGGACCUCAGAUAACACCUGACAACUGCUGGGUUCUUUGGUGCUUACCAUCUUCCAUCUCUGUCCCUGUCUCUCAAACAGGAAGGACAAUAACUUCUGCACAAGCAGAGAAAUAACUGAUGCAAAUUAAUAACAUUAAUUCCUAAAUAAACACUCUCACCACCACACUGCACCGUGGUUUCCAGACCAGUAGCAAAUACAUGUUCCAAGCCUUGCUCUGCAGGCUCCAAAGGGCUGGAAAGACAGCCUGUGCAGACAGCCAGGCCAGUGGGAGUUAUUGGACUGUCAUCCUUGGCCAUCUGUCCCCAUUUCCAUGUUGCUGUUGGCAAAGCAGCUCUCAUGACCUCUCCCUGAGUGAGUGCAGAUCACCUUAUCAUGGGAUCAGUUUAAAUAGGUGUGCUAAGCCCUGUUAAUGCAGCUCAUUACUUUCCUCUGUGCGCCGUGGGACACUGAUGCAAUCUCUGAGCAGGGCUGCGAGGGCAGGCAGGCCAGCCUGGGCAGGCACAGCUGCUCCUGGUGAGGAGGGUCAGGGACACACUGACACACAGUCAGUGGCUGCAGGGUGCCAGCAGCCCCCUGGCUCCUUGGGCAGUCUCCACCUGUCCCAGAGGUCAGGCUGCUUUUGCACCUCUGCUGUGCAGCAGGCAGCAGUGGUAGAUGCUCUCCUGGUACUUCCCCUUGCCUUGCACCUCUCCUUCAGCAUUCCCAGACUUUAGCUGACUACAGUUUGGUCCAGAAUGGCUCUCUUGGGACACAGACCCAAAGAAAGACCCUACAGUGAACCUGAACAGGAGACAGAGACAUCAGAACUGCUGCCUUGUAUGGUGUUCACACUGUAGAAGCUCUUCUCUUCCUAAGGAUGCCAGGGUGGUUGAUGAUGUUAUUUUAUCAGAAGGUAACCCUUACUCACUGUCCAUGCUGUGCUUUCCUUAGGACAAAGGCAAGGCCACCCAGCCAUUCCUACUCUCAGAGCAGAGAGAAAGCCCAGCUUUCUUGUGGAACAGCCUAGCUUAGUGCAUGGCACGAGCAGCCGUUCCCACAGCCUCAGAGAUGGAUUGAACAGAUGCAAUAAUCAUUCACUGCAAUAAACUACAAGGGAGUAGGAAUGAAUAAAGCAAACAAAAUCAUAUACUCAUGCAAUUUUAAAGAGUACUGCAUUAUUUAACUUCACUCAGCUACAACAACUGCAGGCCACCUUGGAUAAAUCAGCCCAUUUUCCAAGCUGUAAAUGACCACGUUUGGACUUAGGAAUGAAAUGAAUAAUUUUUGCAGCUAUGCUUUUGUGCCUUUAAUGGAGGUUACCCAGAAGUUUUUGAAAAACUGGCUUGCAAUUAUAUUGCCUUCCUGUCUCUUGGGGAUUUAUCAAAACCAGAGAAGCACUUUGAUACAGCAGCAUCAGGGCUAUGAAACAGCCCAGAGAGAGAAAACAGAUCUCAUUGUGAAACUAUAGGCUGGGAGGAGUUAUUUUAAGAUGAAAGGGAGUUCCCCACUCAAAGCAUCUUUUUAAAAAUAGGAGUCUGUGCAUCAUCUAGAGUCAAGGUGUCUUUUUCUUUUUCCAAAGGAAGCCCUGCAUCCAGUAACUCUGGGCACUUUAUGGGAGGCAAUUCCCACUUCCUUAAAGUGGUUUUGUAUUCUCCUGUUCCAACAGACAAGUUUCCCACCAAGCACUGAGCUCCAGGGCCAUGCACAUAGACCCUCCUGAUUAAAGGGUUGCACAAGCCAGGAAAGCUGCAGCAACACUUCCCCCUCAUCCCCAUCCCUCGCUCAUUGCCAGUGGGCAGAGCCCAUUUGGGUUCAAAACCUCCAUCCCAAAGCUUUGUUUUUUUGCAUGUUGGUGGCCAGAGGACCACUGCUGGCAAACCAAGACCUUUAAGCAAUGAUUACAAGUGCCUGUUGGCCUGCCCUACGUUACAAAGAGGGUUGUUUAUCUGGGUGCACUCAGAACACAUUGCCAUGCUCGCCACUAACACCAGCCACGAGGACAAGACGCAAAGAGGAGGAGGGGAAAGAGCCACGCACUGCCAAGGCCUUUUUUAUCAUUCUUCUAAAUUUGCUGUUUGCAGACAGGAACAGAAGUGGAGCAUUUCCCAAAAAGAAACCAAACAAAGCCCAGGCGGUUGGAUACUUAUGUUACACUGGCUCCUAAAUUCUGCCAGAGCCAUUUUUAGCAUCCUAAAACAGUACCCUCUUCACACUGCCCCCGCUUAGCUCAUGUGAAUUUUAGUCCUAAACCACAAGUUUAUCUUACAACAAGAUUACAACAAGACAAGAGUUUGAUUUCCAAGCUGCAUCAAUCAUUACACCACACAAGACUGAAGAGUAUUUUUAGAGACUGCCAAAAAGAGAUCUAUAUUUAUGAUAUGUCAUUCUUUAAACAAGUGAUCAACUCCUUUUCAUGCAACUGCAGUGGCAGGAUUGGAGAUCUUGCAAAGGAAAAUAAACCCAAAGUAUCUGGGAAGCUAUUUAUUUAUCACUUAUGCAUGAUGCUAAACUAAUCUCUGAUUCUGGAAGCCAUUGGAAAUAAUCACAGGUGUAACAUAACCUUUACACUAAUUUAAGAACUUCCCAGACAAGAGCUUAGCUUUGCAGUUUAGAGAUGUUGUCUUUCAUUAACCAGAGCUGGACAGCUUCUGAUGAGAAAUUAUUUUUGAAAAAUACGAGGAUUGAAGCCCAAAGAGUUGUACAGAUCUGUGUCUUUUCCAAAUAAUGCAGUUUGCCAAAGUGUGUGUGUGCACCUGGAUGCUUUUACUCUACCCCUUACCUCAGUCCUUCAGAAAAGCUUUCUAGAGGUCAGUUUUAACAGGGAAAGGGAAUCAAGUGAGAGAAAAUAUUUCUGCAGCUCUGCUUUCCAUAUUACAGUGUUUGGAGACAGAAACCUGCUGAACAGUUCUAACACAUAUGCUCAGAGACUUAAUUUGAAUUAUGUGGUAAAACUGAAUGUGCAUAAAAAUGGAACACUUCUGUAUAUGAUAAUUGGAACACUUCUGUAUAUGAUAAUUGGAGCACUUCUGUAGAUGAUAAUUAAAU